AUUGAACGCUGGCGGCAUGCUUUACACAUGCAAGUCGAACGGCAGCGCGGGCUUCGGCCUGGCGGCGGGUGGCGAACGGGUGGGUAAUACAUCGGAACGUGCCCAGUAGUGGGGGAUAGCUCGGCGAAAGCGGGAUUAAAACCGCAUACGACCUGAGGGGGAAAGCGGGGGAUCUUCGGACCUCGCGCUUUUGAGGCGGCCGAUGGCAGAUUAGCUAGUUGGUGGGGUAAAGGCCUACCAAGGCGACGAUCUGUAGCUGGUCUGAGAGGACGACCAGCCACACUGGGACUGAGACACGGCCCAGACUCCUACGGGAGGCAGCAGUGGGGAAUUUUGGACAAUGGGCGAAAGCCUGAUCCAGCAAUGCCGCGUGUGUGAUGAAGGCCUUCGGGUUGUAAAGCACUUUUGGCGGGAACGAAAAGGACUGUGCCAAUACCACGGUUCGAUGACGGUACCCGCAGAAUAAGCACCGGCUAACUACGUG
RNAcentral lists this ribosomal RNA (484 nucleotides) under uncultured bacterium. Its description in RNAcentral is "partial 16S ribosomal RNA". It matches the Rfam family "Bacterial small subunit ribosomal RNA", at positions 29 to 507 of the family's 1533-position model. The record is from RNAcentral.